GGAUGUAGUUCAGUUGGUUAGAGCGUCAGAUUGUGGUUCUGAAUGUCGUGGGUUCGAGUCCCACCUUC
Molecule: transfer RNA, 68 nt
Filed under: Hallella colorans
Lineage: Bacteria; Pseudomonadati; Bacteroidota; Bacteroidia; Bacteroidales; Prevotellaceae
Also listed under: 1 other name
Rfam family: tRNA
About the family: Transfer RNA (tRNA) molecules are approximately 80 nucleotides in length. Their secondary structure includes four short double-helical elements and three loops (D, anti-codon, and T loops).
Source: RNAcentral